GUUAUAUGGUCAAGCGAAUAAGCGCACACGGUGGAUGCCUAGGCGGUCAGAGGCGAUGAAGGACGUGGUAGCCUGCGAAAAGUGUCGGGGAGCUGGCAACAAGCUUUGAUCCGGCAAUAUCCGAAUGGGGAAACCCACUGCUUCGGCAGUAUCCUGCAGUGAAUUCAUAGCUGCUGGAAGCGAACCCGGUGAACUGAAAUAUCUAAGUAACCGGAGGAAAAGAAAUCAACCGAGAUUCCCUAAGUAGUGACGAGCGAACGGGGAGCAGCCCUUAAGCUGGAAUGGCUUUAGAAAAACAAUCUGGAAAGAUUGGCCAUAGAAGGUGAUAGCCCUGUAUUUAAAAGGGCCACUCCAGUGAAGACGAGUAGGGCGGGGCACGUGAAACCCUGUCUGAAUAUGGGGGGACCAUCCUCCAAGGCUAAAUACUCCUGACCGACCGAUAGUGAACCAGUACCGUGAGGGAAAGGNGAAAAGAACCCCGGAGAGGGGAGUGAAAUAGAUCCUGAAACCGUGUGCGUACAAGCAGUAGGAGCUCGCAAGAGUGACUGCGUACCUUUUGUAUAAUGGGUCAGCGACUUACUGUUCGUGGCAAGCUUAACCGUAUAGGGGAGGCGAAGGGAAACCGAGUCUGAUAAGGGCGCAUAGUCGCGGGCAGUAGACCCGAAACCGGGUGAUCUAGUCAUGGCCAGGGUGAAGGUGCCGUAACAGGUACUGGAGGCCCGAACCCACGUCUGUUGCAAAAGACGGGGAUGAGCUGUGAUUAGGAGUGAAAAGCUAAUCGAACCCGGAGAUAGCUGGUUCUCCUCGAAAGCUAUUUAGGUAGCGCCUCAUAUGUAUCCUCUCGGGGGUAGAGCACUGUUAUGGCUAGGGGGUCAUCGCGACUUACCAAACCAUUGCAAACUCCGAAUACCGAGACGGACUGUAUGGGAGACACACGGCGGGUGCUAACGUCCGUCGUGAAAAGGGAAACAACCCAGACCCACAGCUAAGGUCCCAAAUUCACUGCUAAGUGGAAAACGAUGUGGAAAGGCAUAGACAGCCAGGAGGUUGGCUUAGAAGCAGCCACCCUUUAAAGAAAGCGUAAUAGCUCACUGGUCGAGUCGGUCUGCGCGGAAGAUUUAACGGGGCUAAGCAGUGAACCGAAGCUUGGGGUGCAUAAAACUUGUUUUAUGCGCGGUAGAGGAGCGUUCCGUAAGCCUGCGAAGGUGGAUUGAGAAGUCUGCUGGAGGUAUCGGAAGUGCGAAUGCUGACAUGAGUAACGAUAAUGCGGGUGAAAAGCCCGCACGCCGAAAGCCCAAGGUUUCCUUGCGCAACGUUAAUCGACGCAGGGUUAGUCGGUCCCUAAGGCGAGGGCGAAAGCCGUAGUCGAUGGGAAGCAGGUUAAUAUUCCUGCACCUCGCGUGAGUGCGAUGGAGGGACGGAGAAGGUUAGGUGUACCGGGCGUUGGUUGUCCCGGGGAAAGGCGGUAGGUUUGGAUCUUUGGCAAAUCCGGGAUCCUUUAAGACCGAGCACCGAGACGAGCCUUUAUGGCGAAGUCACUGAUACCACGCUUCCAGGAAAAGCUCCUAAGCUUCAGCUCACGAAGACCGUACCGUAAACCGACACAGGUGGGUAGGAUGAGAAUUCUCAGGCGCUUGAGAGAACUCGGGUGAAGGAACUAGGCAACAUGGCACCGUAACUUCGGGAGAAGGUGCACCCUUUUUGGUGGCUCGUGCGAGCUAUAGCUGAAGAGGGUCGCAGAAACCAGGCCGCUGCGACUGUUUAUCAAAAACACAGCACUCUGCAAACACGAAAGUGGACGUAUAGGGUGUGACGCCUGCCCGGUGCUGGAAGGUUAAUUGAUGGGGUCAGCCGCAAGGCGAAGCUCUUGAUCGAAGCCCCAGUAAACGGCGGCCGUAACUAUAACGGUCCUAAGGUAGCGAAAUUCCUUGUCGGGUAAGUUCCGACCUGCACGAAUGGCGUAACGACAGCGGCGCUGUCUCCACCCGAGACUCAGUGAAAUUGAAAUCGCUGUGAAGAUGCAGCGUUCCCGUGGCAAGACGGAAAGACCCCGUGAACCUUUACUAUAGCUUUACACUGAACGUUGAGUUCGUCUGUGUAGGAUAGGUGGGAGGCUAUGAAACUGUGGCGCUAGCUGCAGUGGAGCCAUCCUUGAAAUACCACCCUGUCGUGCUUGACGUUCUAACCUAGGUCCGUUAUCCGGAUCAGGGACCGUGUAUGGUGGGUAGUUUGACUGGGGCGGUCUCCUCCUAAAGAGUAACGGAGGAGCACGAAGGUACGCUCAGCGCGGUCGGACAUCGCGCACUGUGUGCAAAGGCAUAAGCGUGCUUGACUGCAAGAUCGACGGAUCAAGCAGGUACGAAAGUAGGUCUUAGUGAUCCGGUGGUUCUGUAUGGAAGGGCCAUCGCUCAACGGAUAAAAGGUACUCCGGGGAUAACAGGCUGAUACCGCCCAAGAGUUCAUAUCGACGGCGGUGUUUGGCACCUCGAUGUCGGCUCAUCACAUCCUGGGGCUGUAGUCGGUCCCAAGGGUAUGGCUGUUCGCCAUUUAAAGUGGUACGCGAGCUGGGUUCAGAACGUCGUGAGACAGUUCGGUCCCUAUCUGCCAUGGGCGUUGGAAGUUUGAGAGGGGCUGCUCCUAGUACGAGAGGACCGGAGUGGACGAACCUCUGGUGUUCCGGUUGUCACGCCAGUGGCAUUGCCGGGUAGCUAUGUUCGGAAGCGAUAACCGCUGAAAGCAUCUAAGCGGGAAGCGCGCCUCAAGAUGAGACUUCCCGGGGCACAAGCCCCCUAAAGGAACCAUGUAGACUACGUGGUUGAUAGGUCAGGUGUGUAAGUACAGCAAUGUAUUGAGCUAACUGAUACUAAUGAUCCGUGCGGCUUGACCAUAUAACCUCA
The sequence is a ribosomal RNA, 2897 nucleotides long. It matches the Rfam family "Bacterial large subunit ribosomal RNA".